Molecule: ribosomal RNA, 366 nt
Filed under: uncultured bacterium
Lineage: Bacteria
Description: partial 16S ribosomal RNA
Rfam family: Bacterial small subunit ribosomal RNA
Source: RNAcentral
CCUACGGGUGGCAGCAGUGAGGAAUAUUGGUCAAUGGACGAGAGUCUGAACCAGCCAAGUAGCGUGAAGGAUGAAGGCCCUAUGGGUUGUAAACUUCUGUUAUAUGGGAAUAAAAUGUUCCACGUGUGGGAUUUUGUAUGGACCAUAUGAAUAAGGAUAGGCUAACUCCGUGCCAGCAGCCGCGGUAAUACGGAGGAUCCGUGCGUUAUCCGGAUUUAUUGGGUUAAAAGGGAGCGUAGGUGGCUUGUUAAGUCAGUUGUGAAAGUUUGCGGCUCAACCGGAAAAUUGCAGUUGAAACUGGCAGUCUUGAGUACAGUAGCGGUGGGCGGAAUUCGUUGUGUAGCGGUGAAAUUCUUAGAUAUCACG